GAAAAUUAACAUAACGCCAUAGCAACGUUGCUUUUUGAUCCUUCAAUAUCGGCUCUUCCUAUCAUGCUGAAGCAGAGUUCAGUAAGCAUUGGAUUGUUCACCCACUAAUAGGGAACGUGAGCUGGGUUUAGACCGUCGUGAGACAGGUU
Molecule: non-coding RNA, 149 nt
Filed under: Linnemannia elongata AG-77
Lineage: Eukaryota; Fungi; Mortierellomycota; Mortierellomycetes; Mortierellales; Mortierellaceae
Description: Mortierella elongata AG-77 Eukaryotic large subunit ribosomal RNA
Rfam family: Eukaryotic large subunit ribosomal RNA
Source: Rfam by way of RNAcentral